UGAGGUGUCGCCAAGUGGUAAGGCAGCGGACUUUGACUCCGCCAGACGUAGGUUCAAAUCCUUCCACCUCAG
Molecule: transfer RNA, 72 nt
Filed under: Cryptomonas sp. CCAC 1634B
Lineage: Eukaryota; Cryptophyceae; Cryptomonadales; Cryptomonadaceae
Description: tRNA-Gln
Rfam family: tRNA
About the family: Transfer RNA (tRNA) molecules are approximately 80 nucleotides in length. Their secondary structure includes four short double-helical elements and three loops (D, anti-codon, and T loops). Further hydrogen bonds mediate the characteristic L-shaped molecular structure. tRNAs have two regions of fundamental functional importance: the anti-codon, which is responsible for specific mRNA codon recognition, and the 3' end, to which the tRNAs corresponding amino acid is attached (by aminoacyl-tRNA synthetases). tRNAs cope with the degeneracy of the genetic code in two manners: having more than one tRNA (with a specific anti-codon) for a particular amino acid; and 'wobble' base-pairing, i.e. permitting non-standard base-pairing at the 3rd anti-codon position.
Source: RNAcentral